GAUGGUAAGGAUGUUGAUUCGCAGACAGUAAGCAAGAUGAAAUUUGCCCACAUCGAGAAGAGGCCUCCUAGGGUGCCGCGGCCUCCUCCUAAAUCAUCUGCUGGUGCUCCAGUUGCUACAAAUGCCAAUCCUUCAGGUGGAGUGCCACCUCCUCCACCAGGUGCACCACCACCACCACCUCCUCCACCUGGUGGACCACCUCGUCCACCUCCUCCACCUGGAAGCUUGCCAAGAGGAGCAGGAAGUGGUGAUAAAGUUCACCGGGCUCCGGAACUAGUAGAAUUUUAUCAGAGUUUGAUGAAACGCGAGGCAAAGAAGGAUACAUCAUCUUUGAUUUCUUCAACAUCUAAUGUAUC
RNAcentral lists this long non-coding RNA (356 nucleotides) under Populus tremula. RNAcentral describes it as "long non-coding RNA (PTRE_LNC000457)". Lineage: Eukaryota; Viridiplantae; Streptophyta; Magnoliopsida; Malpighiales; Salicaceae. The record is from RNAcentral.